UCAAACUUGGUCAUUUAGAGGAAGUAAAAGUCGUAACAAGGUUUCCGUAGGUGAACCUGCGGAAGGAUCAUUAGCGUAGAAUGACGCGCGCACCGACAAGGUCGCGCGCCGUCUUCAACACCAUGUGAACGAGGACCGAGUUUGUGUGCUGGUGGGGUAUGCGCACGUGCACAUCGGUGCAGUUCCUGUGCCCCGCCGGCAUGCGCAACCAAACUUUGUACCAACGUGUAACGACACACACAUACAAUAAUAUAACAACCAAACACACAACUUUUAACAAUGGAUCUCUUGGCUCCUGCAUCGAUGAAGAACGCAGC
RNAcentral lists this unclassified non-coding RNA (317 nucleotides) under uncultured fungus. Its description in RNAcentral is "partial contains small subunit ribosomal RNA, internal transcribed spacer 1, and 5.8S ribosomal RNA". The stretch from base 1 to 73 matches the Rfam family "Eukaryotic small subunit ribosomal RNA", at positions 1759 to 1831 of the family's 1831-position model. Lineage: Eukaryota; Fungi. The record is from RNAcentral.